CUCAACCGUAAAAUUGCCAUUGAUACUGUUAUUCUUGAGUAUGGUUGAGGUAGGCGGAAUGAGUAAUGUAGCGGUGAAAUGCUUAGAUAUUACUCAGAACACCGAUUGCGUAGGCAGCUUACCAAGCCAUCACUGACGCUGAGGCACGAAAGCGUGGGUAGCAAACAGGAUUAGAUACCCUGGUAGUCCACGCCGUAAACGUUGAUUACUCGUUGUUGGCAAUACACCGUCAGCGACUGAGCAAAAGCAUUAAGUAAUCCACCUGGGGAGUACGUCAGCAAUGAUGAAACUCAAAGGAAUUGACGGGGGCCCGCACAAGCGGAGGAACAUGUGGUUUAAUUCGAUGAUACGCGAGGAACCUUACUUGGGCUUAAAUGUUUAGUGAUCGACCGGGAGACCGGUUUUUCCUUCGGGACACUUUACAAGGUGCUGCAUGGUUGUCGUCAGCUCGUGCCGUGAGGUGUCGGGUUAAGUCCCAUAACGAGCGCAACCCCUAUCGCCAGUUGCCAGCACAUAAUGGUGGGAACUCUGGUGAAACUGCCGGUGCACACCGUGAGGAAGGUGGGGAUGACGUCAAAUCAGCACGGCCCUUAUGUCCAGGGCUACACACGUGUUACAAUGGUCGGUACAACAGGAUGCCAAUCCGCAAGGAUGAGCUAAUCCCAAAAGCCGAUCUUAGUUCGGAUCGGAGUCUGCAAUUCGACUCCGUGAAGUUGGAUUCGCUAGUAAUCGCAGCUCAGCCAUGCUGCGGUGAAUACGUUCCCGGGCAUUGUACACACCGCCCGUCAAGCCAUGGAAGCCGGGGGUGCCUGAAGUCCGUAACCGUAAGGAGCGGC
RNAcentral lists this ribosomal RNA (836 nucleotides) under uncultured organism. Its description in RNAcentral is "bacterial SSU rRNA". It matches the Rfam family "Bacterial small subunit ribosomal RNA", at positions 608 to 1456 of the family's 1533-position model. The record is from RNAcentral.